ACAAUUAUACUGUAAGCAAAUUAUCAUGUUCAGAAUCAGUGAUUAUAAAAUAUAAUAAACAUCAGCAUUAAUAGAGAUGAUUAACAGGAGAAUCAUAUUUGCUGCAUAAUUUAAUCAGAUUUUCUGAGACCUCAAACCACAGAAAAUAUUAAUUUAUUAAAUAAUUAUUUUUUUAAUACCUAUGGAAUAACUGAGAAAUGUACUAUUAUAUACAAUUAAUAAUAAAACUGAUAAAAACAAAUAAAAUCACACCCGAAAAACAUGUAAAAAUUACUAAGCACAAUUAGAGUCAUAUAUACAGCAUACUUCUUUUUUAUUUCAAAUUAAUAUUCAACAAACACUGCAAUUAAAUAAUUUAGAAUGUUUAAACUAUUGGUUAAUGUUUCAGGGUUUAAAGGGUUAAAGAGUAAUAUUUAUUAUAAUAAUACAGUAUAUACUGUAUAUAACACUACUGACACAACAACACUUUGAAAUUGGGUAACUUUACAGGCAACAGUUUUUUAAUUUUCAAUAUUACCUUGUUUAAUGAUUAGAAUAUUAAAUAUUAAUUAUAAUUAAAUAUUAAUGAUAAUUUUCAUUAUUAAGUUUAGUUUAAGCACCACCAUUUAGUGAAAUCAAUUCUGGGUUGAUCAUUUGAUCUGAUUAUCUUUAAAAUUCUAUAAAAUGUAAACAUCAGGUUGCUUUCUUAAUUCAAUAAAAUAUAUAAAAUGUAUUAUAAUAUUUGUAGCUUUAGAAGAAGUAAAGUUACUCACUCUUUAUAAUGAGUUUAGUUACUCCACCGAAAGUGUACCACAGUGAUACAUUCCAAUGAAGCCGUCGUACAAAAACCUCUGUUACACUCCAGUGAUGAACCACACACACACACACACACACACACACACACACACACACACACACACACACACACACUCACACACACACACUCACACACACACACACACACACACUCACACUCACACACACACACACUCAGUCCUCUGGAUGUGUAUCAGAUGUAUCCAGUCAGAAUCUGGGUGUAUAAAAUGGUGUGAGUGUAAUAUUGUUCUGUAAUAUUUAGAGUGUUUUCUUUGUUGUGUUUUAGGUUCAGGAGGGGUUCUAGAUAUUUCCAUAGAGAGGUUCCACUUUGCAUUAUCAGCCCAUGCUUCAGUGCUCUGCUAGUGUUUAUAGUCCUGUGAGUUUAACACUUCAUGACUGAGAGCUGCUGCCCAGCAACUUCACCCACAGCAACCAUGACUUUCUUCUCCAUCUUCAUCUGGACUCUCACUCUCUGGAUUCAGGGAUCCAGUGCUCAGGUCACUGUGACUCAAAGUCCAUCAGAAACAACAACUACUUCUGGAACAACAGUUACCAUCAGAUGUAGAACCAACCGUGCAGUCUAUAGCUGGAAUGGGAUGGAUUAUCAAGCCUGGUACCAGCACAAACCCGGAGAAGCUCCUAAACUCCUGAUCUUUGAUGGCAACAGGAAACCAUCAGGUGCUCCGGCUCGUUUCAGUGGUAGUGGAUCUGGAUCUGACUUCACUCUGAUCAUCAGUAACAUCCAGCCUGGAGAUGCAGCAGAUUAUCAUUGUCAUUGUGUUCAUCAGAUGAAUAGCCUGGGUCCGUACACACAGUGUUACAGAGCUGUACAAAAACCCCCUCAGUCACACACUGCACUGCUGCAGCUGCACCUACUGCAGGCAGGGGGCGCCACAACCCACCUCAGACCCUUCCAGCAGAGUCCUGUGAGUGUGGAACUUUCUGGAUUCAUUAAACUGUUCAUCUUCUACUAUUUUUAUUAUUCAUAAUGAACACAGAACCGGUGUUUUUCUCUCAGAUCCAGGAGUGUUUGGUGUUACAGGUUGUGUGAUUGGUUCAUUAUCUCAGGUGACUACUUUGAUUUUAUCACCUUAAUGGCCGAGAAAACUGCAGGUGAAAUUCUGUGACUCUACAAAAGCCCUACUAAAAAGAGAAUAUAUGCACAUUUAAUACAGCACAACUAAUUCUAAUCAAUAAAUAAAUAUAAUGUUUUAAAAGAAACCCAGAAAUAAUACCCCACUCCCUAUAAUAUACUGUAAUAACUAAUAAGUUCACUCACUCAACUCAAAACUUUUGUUGUAAACGAU
Molecule: non-coding RNA, 2102 nt
Organism: Astyanax mexicanus (Mexican tetra)
Lineage: Eukaryota; Metazoa; Chordata; Actinopteri; Characiformes; Acestrorhamphidae
Source: the annotation of a RefSeq genome assembly